AUGAAUGAAAGAAGGGAAAUAGAUGAAGUAUUCUUUAAUCAAGGACCUAUUUUGAAACACAAUUUUCCUGUUGAAAUCCUUGGGGAUCCUCCUCCACCCAAGGGUGAUCCUGUGUUUGAGCUUAAACAAUUACCUGAUACUCUAAAAUAUGCUUAUCUUGAUGAAAAGAAUAUAUAUCCUAUUAUUAUUAGUGCUAACCUUUCAGAGCAUGAAGAAAAGAAAUUAUUUAAAACUCUGAAGAAGCACCGUGCUGCUAUUGGAUAUACUCUUGAUGAUCUUAAGGGCAUUAGUCCCACUCUAUGUCAGCACAAAAUUAAGUUGGAGAAAGAUGCUAAACCAGUGGUAGAUCAUCAACGACGGUUAAAUCCUAAGAUGAAAGAAGUGAUAAGAAAUGAAAUACUAAAGCUUCUAGAGGCAGGUACAAUUUAUCACAUUGUUGAUAGUCAGUGGGUAAGUCCUGUUCAUUGUGUCCCUAAGAAGGGACGUAUUACUGUUGUUCCUAAUGAUAAAAAUGAAUUGAUUCCACAAAGAAUUGUUACAGGUUAUAAAAUGGUAAUUGCUUUAAAUAAAGCUACUAGAAAAGAUCAUUACCCUCUACCUUUUAUUGAUCAAAUGCUAGAAAGAAUAUCCAAACAUACUCAUUUUUGCUUUCUAGAUGGUUAUUCUAGUUUCUCACAAAUACAUAUGUCAAAAGAGGAUGAAGAGAAAAAUACUUUUACUUGCCCUUUUGGUACCUUCACUUAUAGACGUAUGCCUUUUGGUUUAUGUAAUGCACCUGCUACCUUUCAAUGA
Molecule: ribosomal RNA, 792 nt
Filed under: Triticum aestivum (bread wheat)
Lineage: Eukaryota; Viridiplantae; Streptophyta; Magnoliopsida; Poales; Poaceae
Description: partial small subunit ribosomal RNA
Source: RNAcentral